Molecule: long non-coding RNA, 245 nt
Filed under: Manihot esculenta (cassava)
Lineage: Eukaryota; Viridiplantae; Streptophyta; Magnoliopsida; Malpighiales; Euphorbiaceae
Description: long non-coding RNA (MESC_LNC010723)
Source: RNAcentral
UUUUGGUUUGAACAUGCAAAUCCCUUCUACUAUCUCUGGUUUCAAGCCUCCCACAAAUGUCCCUACUAGUGCCUUUUAUGUCCAACCAUGGACUCUAUUGCCAAGUCUUUCAAAUUCCUGCUGGUAGUCCCAAAGUGGGCCUACUUGGCGAAUCUUGGAGAGAGCUUCAUUAAAAUCAUGACAGCCAAUUGGUCCAAAACGUGCCCAAAGUUUCUAUUGAAAUUUCGUCCAUAGAACCUCUCAAC